UACGUAGGGGGCAAGCGUUGUCCGGAAUUAUUGGGCGUAAAGAGCUCGUAGGCGGUCCGUUAAGUCGGAUGUGAAAUCUCAGGGCUCAACCCUGAAACCGCAUCCGAUACUGGCGGACUUGAGGCAGGUAGGGGAGCGUGGAAUUCCUGGUGUAGCGGUGAAAUGCGCAGAUAUCAGGAGGAACACCGGCGGCGAAGGCGGCGCUCUGGGCCUGUUCUGACGCUGAGGAGCGAAAGCGUGGGGAGCAAACAGG
Molecule: unclassified non-coding RNA, 253 nt
Filed under: uncultured Euzebyales bacterium
Lineage: Bacteria; Bacillati; Actinomycetota; Nitriliruptoria; Euzebyales
Description: contains 16S-23S intergenic spacer region
Rfam family: Bacterial small subunit ribosomal RNA
Source: RNAcentral